Molecule: ribosomal RNA, 875 nt
Filed under: uncultured bacterium
Lineage: Bacteria
Description: bacterial SSU rRNA
Rfam family: Bacterial small subunit ribosomal RNA
Source: RNAcentral
GAGUUUGAUCCUGGCUCAGGAUGAACGCUGGCGGUAUGCUUUACACAUGCAAGUCGUACGAGAGUUUUUAACUCAAGUGGCGGACGGGUGAGUAACACGUAAGAAUUUGCCUUUAGGAGGGGGAUAACAACUGGAAACGGUUGCUAAUACCCCAUAUGCUUUCGAGUAAAAUGGAUUUUCCGCCUAAAGAGAAGCUUGCGGCUGAUUAGCUUGUUGGUGAGGUAAUGGCUCACCAAGGCGACGAUCAGUAUCUGGUUUGAGAGGACGAUCAGACACACUGGAACUGAGACACGGUCCAGACUCCUACGGGAGGCAGCAGUGGGGAAUUUUCCGCAAUGGGCGAAAGCCUGACGGAGCAAUACCGCGUGAGGGAUGACGGCCUAUGGGUUGUAAACCUCUUUUUUCAGGGAGGAAUCAAUGACGUGUACCUGAAGAAUAAGCAUCGGCUAACUCCGUGCCAGCAGCCGCGGUAAGACGGAGGAUGCAAGUGUUAUCCGGAAUCACUGGGCGUAAAGCGUCUGUAGGUGGUCAAAUAAGUCAACUGUUAAAUCUUGAGGCUCAACCUCAAAAUCGCAGUCGAAACUAUUCGACUAGAGUAUAGUAGGGGUAAAGGGAAUUUCCAGUGGAGCGGUGAAAUGCGUAGAGAUUGGAAAGAACACCGAUGGCGAAGGCACUUUACUGGGCUAUUACUAACACUGAGAGACGAAAGCUAGGGUAGCAAAUGGGAUUAGAUACCCCAGUAGUCCUAGCCGUAAACAAUGGAUACUAGAUGUUGAACAGAUCGACCUGUGCAGUAUCAAAGCUAACGCGUUAAGUAUCCCGCCUGGGAAGUAUGCUCGCAAGAGUGAAACUCAAAUGAAUUGACGGGGAAGGGC